Molecule: ribosomal RNA, 619 nt
Filed under: Escherichia coli
Lineage: Bacteria; Pseudomonadati; Pseudomonadota; Gammaproteobacteria; Enterobacterales; Enterobacteriaceae
Also listed under: 1 other name
Description: bacterial LSU rRNA
Rfam family: Bacterial large subunit ribosomal RNA
Source: RNAcentral
AUGGAGCCGACCUUGAAAUACCACCCUUUAAUGUUUGAUGUUCUAACGUGGACCCGUGAUCCGGGUUGCGGACAGUGUCUGGUGGGUAGUUUGACUGGGGCGGUCUCCUCCUAAAGAGUAACGGAGGAGCACGAAGGUUGGCUAAUCCUGGUCGGACAUCAGGAGGUUAGUGCAAUGGCAUAAGCCAGCUUGACUGCGAGCGUGACGGCGCGAGCAGGUGCGAAAGCAGGUCAUAGUGAUCCGGUGGUUCUGAAUGGAAGGGCCAUCGCUCAACGGAUAAAAGGUACUCCGGGGAUAACAGGCUGAUACCGCCCAAGAGUUCAUAUCGACGGCGGUGUUUGGCACCUCGAUGUCGGCUCAUCACAUCCUGGGGCUGAAGUAGGUCCCAAGGGUAUGGCUGUUCGCCAUUUAAAGUGGUACGCGAGCUGGGUUUAGAACGUCGUGAGACAGUUCGGUCCCUAUCUGCCGUGGGCGCUGGAGAACUGAGGGGGGCUGCUCCUAGUACGAGAGGACCGGAGUGGACGCAUCACUGGUGUUCGGGUUGUCAUGCCAAUGGCACUGCCCGGUAGCUAAAUGCGGAAGAGAUAAGUGCUGAAAGCAUCUAAGCACGAAACUUGCC